This 253-nucleotide ribosomal RNA is filed under the name uncultured bacterium. RNAcentral describes it as "partial 16S ribosomal RNA". It matches the Rfam family "Bacterial small subunit ribosomal RNA", at positions 524 to 776 of the family's 1533-position model. The record is from RNAcentral.
GACGAACCGAGCGAACGUUAUUCGGAAUCACUGGGCGUAAAGGGCGUGUAGGCGGGAAUGUAAGUCGGGCGUGAAAUCCCUAGGCUCAACCUAGGAACUGCACUCGAAACUGCGUUUCUUGAGUAUCGGAGAGGAAAGCGGAAUACCUGGUGUAGAGGUGAAAUUCGUAGAUAUCAGGUGGAACACCAGUGGCGAAGGCGGCUUUCUGGACGAUAACUGACGCUGAGGAGCGAAAGCGUGGGGAGCGAACAGG